RNAcentral lists this non-coding RNA (27 nucleotides) under Homo sapiens (human). The record is from RNAcentral. Lineage: Eukaryota; Metazoa; Chordata; Mammalia; Primates; Hominidae.
UGCCAUGUCAACUCAGGAUUGAGGGAA